UACGUAGGGGGCUAGCGUUGUCCGGAAUCAUUGGGCGUAAAGCGCGUGUAGGCGGUUCGGUAAGUCUGCUGUGAAAGUCGGGGGCUCAACCCUCGAAUGCCGGUGGAUACUGUCGGACUAGAGUGCGGAAGAGGCGAGUGGAAUUCCUGGUGUAGCGGUGAAAUGCGCAGAUAUCAGGAGGAACACCAAUGGCGAAGGCAGCUCACUGGGACGGUAUUGACGCUGAGACGCGAAAGCGUGGGGAGCAAACAGG
RNAcentral lists this ribosomal RNA (253 nucleotides) under uncultured bacterium. RNAcentral describes it as "partial 16S ribosomal RNA". It matches the Rfam family "Bacterial small subunit ribosomal RNA", at positions 524 to 776 of the family's 1533-position model. The record is from RNAcentral.